Molecule: ribosomal RNA, 468 nt
Filed under: uncultured bacterium
Lineage: Bacteria
Description: partial 16S ribosomal RNA
Rfam family: Bacterial small subunit ribosomal RNA
Source: RNAcentral
GACGAACGCUGGCGGCGUGCUUAACACAUGCAAGUCGAACGGAAAGGCCCUGCUUUUGUUGGGUGCUCGAGUGGCGAACGGGUGAGUAACACGUGAGUAACCUGCCCUUGACUUUGGGAUAACUUCAGGAAACUGGGGCUAAUACCGGAUAGGAGCUCCUGCUGCAUGGUGGGGGUUGGAAAGUUUCGGCGGUUGGGGCUGGACUCGCGGCUUAUCAGCUUGUUGGUGGGGUAGUGGCUUACCAAGGCUUUGACGGGUAGCCGGCCUGAGAGGGUGACCGGGCACAUUGGGACUGAGAUACGGCCCAGACGGCAACGGGAGGCAGCAGUGGGGAAUAUUGCACAAUGGGCGGAAGCCUGAUGCAGCAACGCCGCGUGCGGGAUGACGGCCUUAGGGUUGUAAACCGCCGUCGCCUGUGACGAAGCGUGAGUGACGGUAAUGGGUAAAGAAGCACCGGCUAACUACGUG